Molecule: ribosomal RNA, 396 nt
Filed under: uncultured Gammaproteobacteria bacterium
Lineage: Bacteria; Pseudomonadati; Pseudomonadota; Gammaproteobacteria
Description: bacterial SSU rRNA
Rfam family: Bacterial small subunit ribosomal RNA
Source: RNAcentral
CGCGUAUGCGACCUGCCUACUACAGGGGAAUAGCCUUCCGAAAGGGAGAUUAAUACCGCAUAAAACAGGGGUCCCGCAUGGGAAUAUUUGUUAAAGAUUUAUCGGUAGUAGAUGAGCAUGCGUUCCAUUAGCUAGUUGGUGAGGUAACGGCUCACCAAGGCAACGAUGGAUAGGGGAACUGAGGGGUUUAUCCCCCACACUGGUACUGAGACACGGACCAGACUCCUACGGGAGGCAGCAGUGAGGAAUAUUGGUCAAUGGACGAGAGUCUGAACCAGCCAAGUCGCGUGAAGGACGACGGUUCUAUGGAUUGUAAACUUCUUUUGUACCAGAGUAAAAUGAGCCACGAGUGGUUUAUUGCAAGUAUGGUACGAAUAAGCAUCGGCUAACUCCGUG